Molecule: ribosomal RNA, 240 nt
Filed under: uncultured Lactobacillus sp.
Lineage: Bacteria; Bacillati; Bacillota; Bacilli; Lactobacillales; Lactobacillaceae
Description: partial 16S ribosomal RNA
Rfam family: Bacterial small subunit ribosomal RNA
Source: RNAcentral
UAACCUGCCCAAGAGAUCGGGAUAACACCUGGAAACAGAUGCUAAUACCGGAUAACAACAGAUGAUGCCUAUCAACUGUUUAAAAGAUGGUUCUGCUAUCACUCUUGGAUGGACCUGCGGUGCAUUAGCUAGUUGGUAGGGUAACGGCCUACCAAGGCAAUGAUGCAUAGCCGAGUUGAGAGACUGAUCGGCCACAUUGGGACUGAGACACGGCCCAAACUCCUACGGGAGGCAGCAGAU